This 700-nucleotide ribosomal RNA is filed under the name Macrobiotus siderophilus. Its description in RNAcentral is "SSU rRNA". It matches the Rfam family "Eukaryotic small subunit ribosomal RNA", at positions 67 to 768 of the family's 1831-position model. Lineage: Eukaryota; Metazoa; Tardigrada; Eutardigrada; Parachela; Macrobiotidae. The record is from RNAcentral.
UUGCUUUUACAAGGCGAAACCGCGAAUGGCUCAUUAAAUCAGUUAUGGUUCACUAGAUCGUAAAUUUUACACGGAUAACUGUGGUAAUUCUAGAGCUAAUACGUGCAACCAGCUCGCUUCCUUGUGGAGCGAGCGCAGUUAUUAGAACAAGACCAAUCCGGCCUUCGGGUCGGUACAAUUGGUGACUCUGAAUAACCGAAGCGGAGCGCAUGGUCUCGUACCGGCGCCAGAUCUUUCAAGUGUCUGACUUAUCAGCUUGUUGUUAGGUUAUGUUCCUAACAAGGCUUCAACGGGUAACGGGGUAUCAGGGUCCGAUACCGGAGAGGGAGCCUGAGAAACGGCUACCACAUCCAAGGAAGGCAGCAGGCGCGCAAAUUACCCACUCCUAGCACAGGGAGGUAGUGACGAAAAAUAACGAUGCGGGGUCUUAUAGAUUCCCGUAAUCGGAAUGGGUACACUUUAAAUCCUUUAACGAGGAUCUAUUGGAGGGCAAGUCUGGUGCCAGCAGCCGCGGUAAUUCCAGCUCCAAUAGCGUAUAUUAAAGUUGCUGCGGUUAAAAAGCUCGUAGUUGGAUCUGGGCUUCUGAAUGGAUGGUGCGCUUUUCGGUGCUACUGUCCGUUUGGUGCCACAAGCCGGCCAUGUAGUGCAUGCCCUUCAUUGGGUGUGCAUUGCGACCGGAACGUUUACUUUGAAAAAAUUA